ACGAACGUAAAUCGUAAAAAAGUAAAAAAGCGAACGAAAAGUUAAUAAAGAGCAACGUUGCUAAUGGUCCGUUUUUUGUGUGUUUGUUUUUGUGUUUUUGUGUUUUUGUUUUUCCUAUU
RNAcentral lists this non-coding RNA (119 nucleotides) under Foraminifera environmental sample. The record is from RNAcentral. Lineage: Eukaryota; Foraminifera.